UAUUCUAAGAUGGAGAGGGGGAAAGC
This 26-nucleotide non-coding RNA is filed under the name Rattus norvegicus (Norway rat). The record is from RNAcentral. Lineage: Eukaryota; Metazoa; Chordata; Mammalia; Rodentia; Muridae.